UAGACCUGAGGUCAGGCAAGACCACCCGCUGAACUUAAGCAUAUCAAUAACCGGAG
RNAcentral lists this ribosomal RNA (56 nucleotides) under Asterochloris mediterranea. Its description in RNAcentral is "partial 26S ribosomal RNA". Lineage: Eukaryota; Viridiplantae; Chlorophyta; Trebouxiophyceae; Trebouxiales; Trebouxiaceae. The record is from RNAcentral.